AGAGUUUGAUCCUGGCUCAGAACGAACGCUGGCGGCAGGCCUAACACAUGCAAGUCGAGCGCACCCUUCGGGGCGAGCGGCGGACGGGUUAGUAACGCGUGGGAAUGUACCCAGAUCUACGGAAUAGCCUCGGGAAACUGAGAGUAAUACCGUAUACGCCCUUCGGGGGAAAGNNUUAUCGGAUUUGGAUCAGCCCGCGUUAGAUUAGAUAGUUGGUGGGGUAAUGGCCUACCAAGUCUACGAUCUAUAGCUGGUUUUAGAGGAUGAUCAGCAACACUGGGACUGAGACACGGCCCAGACUCCUACGGGAGGCAGCAGUGGGGAAUCUUAGACAAUGGGCGCAAGCCUGAUCUAGCCAUGCCGCGUGUGUGAUGAAGGCCUUAGGGUCGUAAAGCACUUUCGCCAGGGAUGAUAAUGACAGUACCUGGUAAAGAAACCCCGGCUAACUCCGUGCCAGCAGCCGCGGUAAU
This 470-nucleotide ribosomal RNA is filed under the name uncultured Alphaproteobacteria bacterium. Its description in RNAcentral is "bacterial SSU rRNA". It matches the Rfam family "Bacterial small subunit ribosomal RNA", at positions 8 to 524 of the family's 1533-position model. Lineage: Bacteria; Pseudomonadati; Pseudomonadota; Alphaproteobacteria. The record is from RNAcentral.